CACUAAGCGGGAGGUAAACUCCUUCUAAGACUAAAUAUUGCCAUGAGACCGAUAGCGAACAAGUACCGUGAGGGAAAGUUGAAAAGCACUCUGAAUAGAGAGUCAAAAAGUACGUGAAACUGUCUAGGGUUAAGAAAGCAUGAAGUGUCUAAAUAUCUGAAUGGAGAAAUUCAGUAUCAUAUUGUUGUAGUAAAAUUUUUGCGAAGCAUAUGGUGUGCACUUUUCUCCUUGUAAGACACUGCGAUCCAUUAGAACCUUGUGUUAAUAACUACCAUGUUGUGAGUUAUUAUAUCUGUCAAUGGGCCCGGCAUGGAGCUUACAUAUUUAAUGUCAGUACUAUAUAUUGUUAAGGUGAUAUACAGGAAAGCAAUGUAAACUGCUGGUGUCUCGUAUAGAUGUCUGAUGGAUUUUAAGCGUUCACAAUAUGACACCUCGGUGUAACCAGUAAUGGUUUAUUGUAUUGUGUCGGAUCAGCAGUGUAUUUGUUUAGUAAUCUUCAUGA
This 502-nucleotide ribosomal RNA is filed under the name Simulium chamlongi. RNAcentral's name for it is "eukaryotic LSU rRNA". It matches the Rfam family "Eukaryotic large subunit ribosomal RNA", at positions 286 to 647 of the family's 3401-position model. Lineage: Eukaryota; Metazoa; Arthropoda; Insecta; Diptera; Simuliidae. The record is from RNAcentral.